GAUGAACGCUGGCGGCGUGCCUAAUACAUGCAAGUCGAGCGAACAGAUGAGGAGCUUGCUCCUCUGACGUUAGCGGCGGACGGGUGAGUAACACGUGAAUAACCUACCUAUAAAACUGGAAUAACUUCGGGAAACGGGGCUUAAUACCGGAUAAUAUAUUAAACGGCAGGGUUCAAUAGUUAAGGAGGUUUUGCCGGUAACUAAUGGAUGAUUCCGCGCCGCAUUAGCUAGUUGGUAAGGUAACGGCUUACCAAGGCAACGAUGCGUAGCCGACCUGAGAGGGUGAUCGGCCACACUGGAACUGAGACACGGUCCAGACUCCUACGGGAGGCAGCAGUAGGGAAUCUUCCGCAAUGGGCGAAAGCCUGACGGAGCAACGCCGCGUGAGUGAUGAAGGUCUUCGGAUCGUAAAACUCUGUUAUUAGGGAAGAACAAAUGUGUAAGUAACUAUGCACGUCUUGACGGUACCUAAUCAGAAAGCCACGGCUAACUACGUG
RNAcentral lists this ribosomal RNA (497 nucleotides) under uncultured bacterium. Its description in RNAcentral is "partial 16S ribosomal RNA". It matches the Rfam family "Bacterial small subunit ribosomal RNA", at positions 28 to 507 of the family's 1533-position model. The record is from RNAcentral.